RNAcentral lists this ribosomal RNA (613 nucleotides) under uncultured beta proteobacterium. RNAcentral describes it as "bacterial SSU rRNA". It matches the Rfam family "Bacterial small subunit ribosomal RNA", at positions 443 to 1044 of the family's 1533-position model. The record is from RNAcentral. Lineage: Bacteria; Pseudomonadati; Pseudomonadota; Betaproteobacteria.
GAACGAAACGGCUCGGGGUAAUACCCCGGCGCUAAUGAACGGUACCGGAAGAAUAAGCACCGGCUUAACUACGUGCCAGCAGCCGCGGUAAUACGUAGGGUGCAAGCGUUAAUCGGAAUUACUGGGCGUAAAGCGUGCGCAGGCGGUUCCACAAGUCAGAUGUGAAAUCCCCGGGCUUAACCUGGGAACUGCAUUUGAAACUAUGGGGCUAGAGUGUGUCAGAGGGGGGUAGAAUUCCACGUGUAGCAGUGAAAUGCGUAGAGAUGUGGAGGAAUACCGAUGGCGAAGGCAGCCCCCUGGGAUGACACUGACGCUCAUGCACGAAAGCGUGGGGAGCAAACAGGAUUAGAUACCCUGGUAGUCCACGCCCUAAACGAUGUCAACUAGUUGUUGGGUCUUUAUUGAUUCAGUAACGCAGCUAACGCGUGAAGUUGACCGCCUGGGGAGUACGGUCGCAAGAUUAAAACUCAAAGGAAUUGACGGGGACCCGCACAAGCGGUGGAUGAUGUGGAUUAAUUCGAUGCAACGCGAAAAACCUUACCUACCCUUGACAUGUCCGGAACCCUGCCGAGAGGUGGGGGUGCUUGAAAGAGAACCGGAACACAGGUGCUGC